This 253-nucleotide ribosomal RNA is filed under the name uncultured bacterium. Its description in RNAcentral is "partial 16S ribosomal RNA". It matches the Rfam family "Bacterial small subunit ribosomal RNA", at positions 524 to 776 of the family's 1533-position model. The record is from RNAcentral.
UACGUAGGGUGCGAGCGUUGUCCGGAAUUAUUGGGCGUAAAGGGCUCGUAGGCGGUCUGUUGCGUCAGGAGUGAAAACUCGGGGCUUAACCCCGAGCCUGCUUCUGAUACGGGCAGACUAGAGGUAUGCAGGGGAGAACGGAAUUCCUGGUGUAGCGGUGAAAUGCGCAGAUAUCAGGAGGAACACCGGUGGCGAAGGCGGUUCUCUGGGCAUUACCUGACGCUGAGACGCGAAAGCGUGGGGAGCAAACAGG